Molecule: small RNA, 522 nt
Filed under: Pan troglodytes (chimpanzee)
Lineage: Eukaryota; Metazoa; Chordata; Mammalia; Primates; Hominidae
Description: retained intron
Source: RNAcentral
AUGACGCGGCGCCGGGUCGCCGCCGCAGAUUCGACACAAAACCCGGAAGGACCCCGCCGAAGGUUUUCUCCGGUUCGUGAGAGGGACGGAGUCCCGCUCUGUCACGCAGGCUGCCAGGCUGGCGUACAGUGGCGCAAUCUCAGCUCACUGCAACCUCCACCUCCUGGGUUCAAGCGAUUUUCUUGCCUCUGCCUCCUGAGUAGCUGGGAUUACUGGCACACACCACCAAUGCACAGGGAGCUAUGAGACAUCAAUCAAUAUAUGUAAGAUGUACAUCAGUUUCAUCUGGAGAGAUGGGACAACAUGAAGCAGGGAGGGGGCUCCCAGGUCACAGUUGCAGGAAUUUAGCCAAUUCAGAGAUCUUGUUCUCCAUAAUUUGGAAUUUUCCUUCGGAUUUGAUCAAGUUGGAUAGAGUUGGUCAAACCCAAUGGGAAAAAGAUGAAAACAACAAGAAACAGAAACAAACAACAACAGCAACAACAACAAAAACAGUUAAGUGAAACAAACAAACAAUCACACAAU